AGGAGAGAGGGGAGGGAGAAGGUCAGAGAGUCACCUUCCCAGGUUUCAUGGCUGCUGCAGGGAGAAAGGGCGAGGGGAAGGUGGAGCAACUCUCAAUCCAUGACUGAAUUGUACAGAUGGAACACAGGAGGGUGAGAUGUCUCCUUGCUGGAAACUGCACAGUGUGAAGGCUCUCGGGAAUUGCUUUAUGGAAUCAGACUCCUUCGUUCCUUCGUGUACACCUCCUAGAUGCAUUUUUACAGAAUCAGACUCCUUCAUGUACACUUCCUAGGUGCAUUUUCCUGGAGCUCAUCUGGAGUCCAGGCCUCAGCUUCUGUUGUACAAUGAGGGAUGAUAAUGGCAGAUACUUAGAUACUUUUGAGAAGGCCACCUGAGACGUGAUUGCCAAAAGCAAGUGAGGAUGACUGAAUGAGAGAACGGUGAAUAGCAGUUAUUUUAAAAUUUAUUUUUAACAUCCCUACAUUUAUUGCAACUGAUUCUUGUAGGACC
Molecule: long non-coding RNA, 489 nt
Filed under: Homo sapiens (human)
Lineage: Eukaryota; Metazoa; Chordata; Mammalia; Primates; Hominidae
Description: HSALNT0082568
Source: RNAcentral